ACCGAUGGGCAGUUUGUCACACAGCUGACUUCAUCUGCUUUUACACUCCUACUGUCAUCAGACUUUAAAGGAUCCUUAGAAAUUCUGACUUCAGCUCAACACACUGACCCCACAGGUUUUUACCAUGUGAAAGAGUGGAAGGAAACAAGAGCAACAAUUACCUCCUGCGGGGCUUUGAAAAUGCGACUCUGUUUGCUGAGCAACCGGGAGUGGGCCGACUCCAUCAAUCUGAGCCAAUGAAGAAAGGGAGUCUGAAUACAUACAUGCACCCUGAAUCAGACGGCGCGCAGCUGCAGUGGAUCAAAAAAUGCACCAGAGGUCGGAGUGACUUGGGGGGCGCGGCGGUCGGAGGUUCAGUGCACCUCGACGGAAGCGGCGGUGCGGCUCCGGAGCAUGAUGAGCGCGCUGUUUUGACACUCAUCUGGACCUCCUUGUUAACUCCCCCACAACAGAUGUGAUGCGCUCAGACAGGCCUGUGCGGCGCGCGAGCGGGGGCCCGGUCGGGCUCAGGCUGCAGAGCGGCGUACUUGAAGGAUUUAACAUGAAUAUGCUCUCUUGUAUUUCCCCAAUAUGGCCAAACAAGAGAAUUAAUGGCAUAUUAGAAAGGGGAUGUUAGAGGAGAAAGCACAGGGUAGCGGAGAAGGUCUACCUAAACGCUGAGAAAUCCAAACUCGACUGACUCGAACG
Molecule: long non-coding RNA, 687 nt
Organism: Poecilia latipinna (sailfin molly)
Lineage: Eukaryota; Metazoa; Chordata; Actinopteri; Cyprinodontiformes; Poeciliidae
Exons: 3
Source: RefSeq, a predicted model, not a curated record